ACGAACGCUGGCGGCGUGCUUAACACAUGCAAGUCGAACGGAAAGGCCCUGCUUUUGUGGGGUGCUCGAGUGGCGAACGGGUGAGUAACACGUGAGUAACCUGCCCUUGACUUUGGGAUAACUUCAGGAAACUGGGGCUAAUACCGGAUAGGAGCUCCUGCUGCAUGGUGGGGGUUGGAAAGUUUCGGCGGUUGGGGAUGGACUCGCGGCUUAUCAGCUUGUUGGUGGGGUAGUGGCUUACCAAGGCUUUGACGGGUAGCGGGCCUGAGAGGGUGACCGGCCACAUGGGGACUGAGAUACGGCCCAGACUCCUACGGGAGGCAGCAGUGGGGAAUAUUGCACAAUGGGCGGAAGCCUGAUGCAGCAACGCCGCGUGCGGGAUGACGGCCUUCGGGUUGUAAACCGCUUUCGCCUGUGACGAAGCGUGAGUGACGGUAAUGGGUAAAGAAGCACCGGCUAACUACGUG
This 467-nucleotide ribosomal RNA is filed under the name uncultured bacterium. Its description in RNAcentral is "partial 16S ribosomal RNA". It matches the Rfam family "Bacterial small subunit ribosomal RNA", at positions 29 to 507 of the family's 1533-position model. The record is from RNAcentral.